UAUCAUCCAAUCGGGACAGGGCUUACCCACUGAACGUGUGUAUAUCGUCAUGUAACCUAUUUUCGCGAUGUGCGUUCACAGAUUGUUCCAUGCAACAUUUUCUGGGAAUCGUGAACAAAUUAAAGAAUUUUCAUUCAAAUAAAUUAAAUACAUGAAUUUGUUGUGUUUAAACCAGGGCAGUGGUCUGCAAUUUAUGUGCCAGUUUAAUGAAGAGUACCGUAAAAAUGCAAGAAAUAGGCAUAAAUUUGGAUUAUUAUAGUUGAAAAAUACCAGAAAAGGGUUACACGAUACAAACCCGCGAGAAUCAGCCAGAGAAUCUGCUGACAAGGUAAUACGAAUGCUGAAAGAUAACGACAUCUGCAAUAUCACCAUGGCAGACAUAGACAUUGCACAUAGAUUACCAAACAAGAACAAUACAAACAGAGAAAUUAUAGUAAGACUAGUAAGCCGACAGACCAAAGGACUUAUUUUAGCAAACAGGAAGAAGAUCCGCGGAACAAACAUUUUCAUAAAUGAAGACAUGACCAGGUUGAAUCUGCAUGUUCUUAUGUGUGUGAAGAAGACAAUUGCCGAUGAAGUAAGCGAUGCAUGGUUUAUCAACGGUAGAAUCAUGUUCAAGAGCCACAUGAACAAAAUCCAGUCGGUCAAGUUCGAAGACUACGAACAUUGGAUAAACUUACCAUCGCCCAACACAACAACAAAAUAAAGUGAAACUUCGUCCAAGAAUAAUAUCUUUUUGUGAACAGUAUAGUUUAUAUCACAGUAUUAAUUCUUCUGUAGUGUAACCACGAGUUCCUCGAGGAAACGCCACUUACAGUAUUACAUCCACCGAUCGUUUACAACAAAUUGUAUUGAAGUAAACACUUCUAACCAUAUAAAUAGUAAACGGUUAAGGUGACAUCAUAUAUCGGAACGUUUAAUAUGCGAUUCAAAAAUAUUAUGUAAUACACAGUGCAAGCUAGAGAAUGUAUAAUAUUGUUUAUGUAAGGCAUGUGUUUGUAAUCGUUUAGUAAUAUUCAGCAACGUUUGCCAAACACUCA
Molecule: long non-coding RNA, 1040 nt
Organism: Dreissena polymorpha
Lineage: Eukaryota; Metazoa; Mollusca; Bivalvia; Myida; Dreissenidae
Exons: 2
Source: RefSeq, a predicted model, not a curated record